CCCACGCCACAGUGCCAGCUCGUCCUCCGGGAUGGUGGGGGACACUGUUGGGACCGCCUCUGCUAAAGAGGAGGAAGGGAAUGGGCAACGGUAGGUCAGCAUGCCCCGAAUUAUCUGGGCUACACGCGGGCUACAAUGGGUGGGACAAUGGGUAUCGACACCGAAAGGUGAAGGCAAUCUCCUAAACCCAUCCGUAGUUCGGAUUGUGGGCUGCAACUCGCCCACAUGAAGCUGGAAUCUGUAGUAAUCGUGUCUCAAAAUGGCACGGUGAAUAUGUCCCUGCUCCUU
Molecule: ribosomal RNA, 288 nt
Filed under: uncultured Methanomicrobiales archaeon
Lineage: Archaea; Methanobacteriati; Methanobacteriota; Methanomicrobia; Methanomicrobiales
Description: partial 16S ribosomal RNA
Rfam family: Archaeal small subunit ribosomal RNA
Source: RNAcentral